RNAcentral lists this ribosomal RNA (529 nucleotides) under uncultured bacterium. RNAcentral describes it as "bacterial SSU rRNA". It matches the Rfam family "Bacterial small subunit ribosomal RNA", at positions 979 to 1509 of the family's 1533-position model. The record is from RNAcentral.
CCUUGACAUACUAAGAACUUUCCAGAGAUGGAUUGGUGCCUUCGGGAACUUAGAUACAGGUGCUGCAUGGCUGUCGUCAGCUCGUGUCGUGAGAUGUUGGUUAAGUCCCGNAACGAGCGCAACCCUUUUCCUAUUUGCCAGCGGGUCAUGCCGGGAACUUUAAGGAUACUGCCAGUGACAAACUGGAGGAAGGCGGGGACGACGUCAAGUCAUCAUGGCCCUUACGGCCAGGGCUACACACGUGCUACAAUGGUCGGUACAAAGGGUUGCUACCUCGCGAGAGGAUGCUAAUCUCAAAAAGCCGAUCGUAGUCCGGAUCGCAGUCUGCAACUCGACUGCGUGAAGUCGGAAUCGCUGGUAAUCGCGGAUCAGAAUGCCGCGGUGAAUACGUUCCCGGGCCUUGUACACACCGCCCGUCACACCAUGGGAGUUUGUUGCACCAGAAGUAGGUAGUCUAACCGCAAGGAGGACGCUUACCACGGUGUGGCCGAUGACUGGGGUGAAGUCGUAACAAGGUAGGCGUAGAUGA